AAAAUGUGUUGGUCUUUUAGCUCUUUUGUUAUUAUCUGGAUGUACCUCAAAAGAAUCUUAAGACUGUGGCGAUCUUAUAAGAUGCUUUUUUC
Molecule: unclassified non-coding RNA, 92 nt
Organism: Neogale vison (American mink)
Lineage: Eukaryota; Metazoa; Chordata; Mammalia; Carnivora; Mustelidae
Source: Ensembl